CAUUUACGCACUCCUCUCAAACACCCCUCAUCUCUUACUCUUUCCAUUACUCUUCUUCUGUUACUUUUGAAAUUCAUUUCAAUUUUUCUUCCAUUCAAUGUCAUAGGCGUUAGGUUCAGGUUUUUUACCUAAUCUUCGAUAACUCCCGGUAGAAAGUGCAGAAGAUUUGAGUUUGCGUAGCUCUACCAGUUUCAAGGUACUUAGUGCAACCAAAUAAGAAAUCAAUUUAAUAACCAAAAUCCCUUUCAGACGCCAGUCCAUUGCACAACUCCAUUAUCCCAGGUAUACCGUAUAGGCGAAUAACAAUGUUUGUUGUGGGAGUCAACAAGAAGGAAUUCAAAUCAUACAUUGAAACUGUGUCUAAUGCCAAAUGCACCGCUAACUGUCUUCCUCCUUUUGCCAAAGUUAUCAAUGGCAAAUACAGAAUUAUUGAAGGACUUGGGAAUGCCGCUCAUUCCAUCACUGCCACCCAGAUGGCUGUUGAUGGACCAUCCAGCAAGGACUAGAAAGUGGAGAAGCUGCUUUAUAGUUUAUUCAACAUAAUUCCCAGCAUCACAAAAGUUGCCAAGGUCCUGCGGUAAUUGUUGGAUGAAUCUAUGAUUUCUUAUCAGCAUAGAGAUUUGUAAUAAAAAUGAAGAGAGGAUUUACUAAGAUUUUAAAUCUUUUGGAUGUGUUGUACCAGAAAUAAUCACCGCUUUUCAAUGUUUUUUUUAAAUUGUUUUGUGUUUCUCCUUGGACCUUGGUUAUUAUAUCAAGUUUACAUCCAGCUUCAUGUAGAUAUCAUGUUGCUAAAUAUU
Long non-coding RNA from Papaver somniferum (opium poppy), 797 nucleotides. RefSeq lists it as uncharacterized. NCBI's taxonomy places the organism in Eukaryota, Viridiplantae, Streptophyta, Magnoliopsida, Ranunculales, Papaveraceae. The record is from RefSeq and is a predicted model, not a curated record. The transcript is spliced from 5 exons.